AGUGAACGCUGGCGGUAGGCCUAACACAUGCAAGUCGAACGGCAGCACAGUAAGAGCUUGCUCUUACGGGUGGCGAGUGGCGGACGGGUGAGGAAUACAUCGGAAUCUACUUUUUCGUGGGGGAUAACGUAGGGAAACUUACGCUAAUACCGCAUACGACCUACGGGUGAAAGCAUGGGUUCUUCGGACCUUGCGCGAUUGAAUGAGCCGAUGUCGGAUUAGCUAGUUGGCGGGGUAAAGGCCCACCAAGGCGACGAUCCGUAGCUGGUCUGAGAGGAUGAUCAGCCACACUGGAACUGAGACACGGUCCAGACUCCUACGGGAGGCAGCAGUGGGGAAUAUUGGACAAUGGGAGCAAGUCUGAUCCAGCCAUACCGAGUGGGUGAAGAAGGCCUUCGGGUUGUAAAGCCCUUUUGUUGGGAAAGAAAAGCAGCAGGUUAAUACCGCGCUGUUCUGACGGUACCAAAAGAAUAAGCACCGGCUAACUUCGUG
Molecule: ribosomal RNA, 492 nt
Filed under: uncultured bacterium
Lineage: Bacteria
Description: partial 16S ribosomal RNA
Rfam family: Bacterial small subunit ribosomal RNA
Source: RNAcentral